CCAAGGUAUACCUCUAGUCUGGUUGUUCCUGAAAUUACUGGAAGAGGGCAAGUAUUUCUUCCAUUCCUGGGAGAGUAUUCACCAUUCCAAAUGGUAAUUGUGUACGAGUCUGCGGAUUCUUUCUCAGUGGUGAGGCAUUCUCACUGUGGUCACAUUACCCACAACCUGGCAAGCCUGAACAACUAGGGCAUGAUGCAAUAAACAUUAUUCAAGAGCAUGAAGAGCUUGCGGUUUAAAGAAGGGAGCAAUCACAUUAGGGGAUGUCAACGGAUGCCGUAUGAGGAAGAAACCACUGCAAAGUGCGUGGAACAGCAGGAUUUCACCAGGUCCAGAUGGAAUGAGCGGAUUCCGAAUAAGACACAGCCUGCGCAAAGGCAUGAAAGCAGACACGCACAGCACAUGCUUCAGGAAGAGGAAGUACGCCAGUCUGGCCAGACCAGAUACAAACUAAGAAAGCAGCAUGAAAUACAAAAUAAGAUUAGGACUCCAGUCCCACCCACCACGGAAC
Symphalangus syndactylus (siamang) is the source of this 508-nucleotide long non-coding RNA. RefSeq lists it as uncharacterized. NCBI's taxonomy places the organism in Eukaryota, Metazoa, Chordata, Mammalia, Primates, Hylobatidae. The record is from RefSeq and is a predicted model, not a curated record.